UUUCGGUUGGGGCGACCACGGAGCAAAGUAAACCCUCCAAGUUGAUUCUACCCCUAAGCCCAGAGCCACAGCUCCAAGCAUUAAUAAAUUAACAUCAAUUGACCCAGUAUUCUGACCAACGAACCAAGUUACCCUAGGGAUAACAGCGCAAUCCACUUCAAGAGUCCUUAUCGACAAGUGGGUUUACGACCUCGAUGUUGGAUCAGGAUUUCCUAGUGGUGUAGCCGCUACUUUAGGUUCGUUUGUUCAACGAUUAAAAUCCU
Molecule: ribosomal RNA, 263 nt
Filed under: Bryophryne quellokunka
Lineage: Eukaryota; Metazoa; Chordata; Amphibia; Anura; Craugastoridae
Description: partial 16S ribosomal RNA
Rfam family: Bacterial large subunit ribosomal RNA
Source: RNAcentral